GGUCUAUUGGCUCAGUUGGUUAGAGUGCUCGGUUGUCAGCCGAGAGAUCACGGGUUCGAAUCCCGUAUAGACCGCUA
RNAcentral lists this transfer RNA (77 nucleotides) under Sphingobacterium sp. RNAcentral's name for it is "tRNA-Asp". It matches the Rfam family "tRNA". From Rfam's summary of the family: Transfer RNA (tRNA) molecules are approximately 80 nucleotides in length. Lineage: Bacteria; Pseudomonadati; Bacteroidota; Sphingobacteriia; Sphingobacteriales; Sphingobacteriaceae. RNAcentral also lists the same sequence under 1 other name. The record is from RNAcentral.